RNAcentral lists this ribosomal RNA (352 nucleotides) under uncultured bacterium. RNAcentral's name for it is "bacterial SSU rRNA". It matches the Rfam family "Bacterial small subunit ribosomal RNA", at positions 29 to 396 of the family's 1533-position model. The record is from RNAcentral.
AAUGAACGUUGGCGGCAUGGAUUAGGCAUGCAAGUCGAGCGGUAAGGCCCCGCAAGGGGUACACGAGCGGCGUAAGGGACAGUAAUGUGUAGGUACGUACCUCCGGGCCUGGGAUAGCUGCGGGAAACUGCAAUUAAUACCAGAUGAUGUCUCCGGACCAAAGGUGUGAUUCCGCCGGGAGAGCGGCCUACAUCCUAUUAGCUAGUUGGCGGGUAACGCCCACCAAGGCUCAGAUGGGUAGCAGGUGUGAGAGCACGACCUGCGUCACUGGGACUGAGACACUGCCCAGACACCUACGGGUGGCUGCAGUCGAGAAUCUUCGGCAAUGAGCGGCAAGCUUGACCGAGCAAUG